Molecule: small nucleolar RNA, 100 nt
Filed under: Tupaia belangeri chinensis (Chinese tree shrew)
Lineage: Eukaryota; Metazoa; Chordata; Mammalia; Scandentia; Tupaiidae
Description: Tupaia chinensis (Chinese tree shrew) Small nucleolar RNA U13
Rfam family: Small nucleolar RNA U13
Source: Rfam by way of RNAcentral
ACCCUUUACGGUUCGUAAGUAUGAGGAGGUUUUCACACUGUUAUCUGAGAUGUGCCUCCCUCAAACCUUGUUACGACAUUGGCACUGUACCUGUCUGAUG